Molecule: small RNA, 622 nt
Filed under: Drosophila mojavensis
Lineage: Eukaryota; Metazoa; Arthropoda; Insecta; Diptera; Drosophilidae
Description: GI18616
Source: RNAcentral
UUCCUAUUCAGUACCUCAGUCUGAAAGUAACACAAAACAAUUUUACAAAAUUCUUCAAAUUUGAAUCUCAUAUUAAAAUUAUUUGAUUUUUCCAUUAUUUCGAAGUUUUUCCCAAAAAGUCGUCGACUAUUUUUCAGCUUUCAUAUAACGAGCUUUUGACUUAAGUAUACAAAAUGUUUGAUGCCCCCGCCCCCACCCCCGCUCCCGGCGCUCCAGCACCAGCACCAGCACCAGCACCAGCACCGGCACCAGCAGCACCUGUUGCAACCACAGCUGGAGUGGACAUUCUACAGAGCAAUUAUUGGCUUACAGCAGGUGCAGUCAUCUUGUAUUCGGCAAGGGCUUUGUAUGUGAAAUUCCGCAAUAUGAGCCUGGGCAAGAUGAGUUCAGACACGGCAGGCCUGGGUAAGGGCGAGGAAUUAGCUCCGAUAGAUAAAUAGUUACAAGCGAAAGGAUGGGAAUACACAAAUGAAUACAAGUAAAAAAAAACAAAUACUUUCGGAAGUCAGCUUUGAGGUGUUGGAGUGCUUGCGAUUUAAGGGGGUCGCAAGUUAAUUUCAACACUAUCUUCUACCCAAGGAUCAUACACAUAAUAAUCACUUAAAUGAUUGCUGUUGUCUAA